UUCGUUUUGUACGGAGAGUUUGAUCCUGGCUCAGGACAAACGCUGGCGGGGUGCAUGAGACAUGCAAGUCGAACGAGGUGCCAUCGGGCUUGCUCGAUGGUUACCUAGUGG
Molecule: ribosomal RNA, 111 nt
Filed under: Chloroflexota bacterium
Lineage: Bacteria; Bacillati; Chloroflexota
Description: Chloroflexi bacterium (soil metagenome) partial 16S ribosomal RNA
Rfam family: Bacterial small subunit ribosomal RNA
Source: RNAcentral